AUCAUGAGUAUACAUUCUCAGCUUCAACAGGUAAAAAAGGAUGACCUCGUCGUUAGUAUCUUGUUCAAAUUAAGGAACAAACAAUAAGUUUUUUGCAAUCAGUGAACCUUUAUCGUAUAGGGAUCAUUUGGUCUAUAUAUAUUGUAAGGUUUGGGUAUUGAGUAUAACACCUUUGUCACGAGUAUACAGAACCGGACUGGUUGCUCGUCCUUAGCUGAUUUUUGAAGUCUUUUAUUGGCUUAUGAUACUCAUUUGGAAAAACAACAGGCUGUGGAUUAAUUAAAUAUGCUUCAAGCUAACCUAGCCAACUUCCAGUUCUCUCAAAAUCAUAGAAGAUCCAAGUCACCUUCUCCAGGUAAGCUCCCUAAUUUUUCCUCUCAUCAAUCCCUUGUUCCCCUGGACUUUCUCCUGUUUUUAAUCAACCGAUCCACCCUUUCAUAACCCAACUCCCAAUCUGGUAUUUUUAGCUCACCCUCUCAAUAGAAUCGAAACAAAAAAUCUUGUUGACCUUAGUGUCAAAUCCAUGGCAAAAUGAGACAUCCUACUUUUGUUUGCUAUAAUAGAAACAACCCUACUUAUCGUUUCCCUCGAAAGCCCCAACCACUAGCCCUUUUUAACUCCCUUUAGACUACUCAUAAUCAACCUACCAUUCCUCAACCUCCCUAUUCUGGUGAUUCUUCCUCAAACACGUUCUUUUCUUAUUCUAAUGAUGCUUGGUUUAUGGAUUUGGGUGCUACUCACUAUAUGACACCUGACCUCAACAAUCUCCAACAAGAUCUUCCCUAUACGGGACGUGAGUAGGUUGUUGUAGGCACUCGUUCUUAAGAGUGUUUAGUUUCUAUUUCUUCUCCAUACUUAUUCACUCCUCUUCAUCUUAAAUUUGACAUUCAUGCUCCUGAAAUCUCUCAUAACUUAAACAGCAUAGCUAAACUUCUUUAUGAUAAUGUGAUAUUUGCGGAGUUUUACAUCUUAUUUUCUUGUGAAGGAUCCAAUUUCCAAAAGGCUAUUGCUUCGAGGACUUCUUGAUCAUGGUCUUUACAAACUCUCUACUUUUUAUGUCAUUCCAAGAGUCUCUCCAUCCUCCACAACACUAACAAUUUUUUCUCUCAACGCUUCAAGAUCCUCAAGUUUGGCAUCACCAGCUCGACCAUUCUUCAAAUUUUUGUUCUCAAUUCUAUUUUAAGUCAAUAUAAUAUCAAAUUUAGGUCUACCUCUAUUCUUUUUUGUAUUGCGUAUCAAAUGGCUAAGAUCCAACGCUUGUCUUUUUUCUUGUCUUUUUCUCGCUCAAUGCAUCCUUUUCAAUUCGUGUAUUCAAACAUAUGAGGUCCUUCCCCUAUUUUAUCUAGUCGUUUUACUUGAGUAUAUCUUCUUCGCACAAAAAUGGAAACUUGCUCUAUUUUCUUACAAUUUAAGGUCAUGAUUAAAAAUCAAUCAAUUCUAAAGUUGUUGCUCUCCAAACUCGGGUUGGUGUUGAAUUUAAGCCUUUAAUCCCUACCCUCCUUUCCUGUGGCAUACAACACUGCAUUUGUUAUCCAUAUACAUCCCAGCAAAAUGGUAAAUGUUGUUGAGGUUGGUUUGUCCAUUCUUGUUUAUGCAUCUAUUCCUCGAAAAUUAUGGUCCUUUUCUUUUCAAUGUGUUGUCCAUAUUAUUAACUGACUUCCCACAAAUGUUCUUCAAAAACAUUCUCCCUCUUCUCUUUUAUACAAUAAAACCCCUGAUUAUUCUCUUCUAAAAUUCUUUGGCCAUGUUUGUUUUCCUUUCCUUUGCCCGUACGAUGCCCAUAAACUUUAAUUUCGUUCUCAUGAAUGUGUUUUUCUUGGUUAUUGUUCUUCUCAUAAAGGAUAUUUAUUUUUAGAUGCUUCCAGUGGUUGCAUAUAUGUAUCUUGACAUCAAUCUUUAAUGAAUCCUCUUUCCCCUUUGUUGUCCAUAGUUCUCAAUGUUCUUCUCUUAAACAGAUACAUCGGGAUUUUUUUUCUUUCCCCUUCUUCCAUAUUUACUGAUAUGGUUACGCCUUUCUCUACAUCACCUAUUCAUUAUCCACCACUUUCCCUUCCUAAUCCAGUUGCUUUUACUACCUCCAGCAUGCUCUCUAACCUAUCUAUUUCUUCCUCACCUCCUACCAUACCCCUUCCCCUCUUGUCCCACAUUGAUUCUAUCAAUCCAUCCCCUUCUCUCAAUGCCAUCUAUACUGCCCCUUUACCAUCCACAUCCUAAGCAUCACCCCUUGCCCCUAUUUCCUCAUUAUCUUCCCUCCCUUUCGCUUGUCCCCAGCCUCCCCUCACUAUCAAUCAGCAUACUAUGAUUACCAGAUCCAAGGUUGGAACCUUUAAACCCAAAGCUCUCCUAGCCUCUGUUCCCACUUCUUCAUCAACCAUUACAACCGAACCAUCUAAUUGUAAGGUUGCACUUGCUAAUCCACAUUGGAAACAAGCUGUGGUCGCUGAUUAUGAGGUCUUAUUGAGGAACAACACUUGGCCCUUAGUCCCAUUGCCCCCAGAUCGUAAGGUUAUAGGCUACAAAUGGGUGUUAUGUGAAACUACAGCCUCUAGGUGAAGUUGAACGCUAUAAGGCUCGGGUAAUUGCUUAAAGUUAGAUGUUUAGAAUACAUUCCCUUCAUGGUGAUCUACAGGAAGGAGUCUUUAUGAAGCAACCUGUUGUAAGUAAUUCUCAUCUUCAUCACAUACUUUGUUUUCAUAAAUCUCUUUAUGGCCUAAAACAAAACUCACGCACUUGGUUUUCAAAGCUUAUUUUGUGCUUGCUUAGGUUGGGGAUUGUCUGGUUCCAAAGCUGAUACUUCAAUGUUCAUUUAUCUCCUAUUGUCAUAUUUCUCAUUUAUGUUGAUUGAUGAUACCCUUGUUACUAGUAACAAUAGCAAAUUAAUUCAGUGGUUCGUAUCAGCUUUAAAUGCAACAUUUUCUCUUAAA
This is a non-coding RNA of Benincasa hispida (wax gourd), 2924 nucleotides long. The record is from RefSeq and is a predicted model, not a curated record. Lineage: Eukaryota; Viridiplantae; Streptophyta; Magnoliopsida; Cucurbitales; Cucurbitaceae.